GACGAACGCUGGCGGCGUGCUUAACACAUGCAAGUCGAACGAAGAGCGAUGGAAGCUUGCUUCUAUCAAUCUUAGUGGCGAGCGGGUGAGUAACGCGUAAUCAACCUGCCCUUCAGAGGGGGACAACAGUUGGAAACGACUGCUAAUACCGCAUACGAUCUAAACUCGGCAUCGAGGAUAGAUGAAAGGUGGCCUCUACAUGUAAGCUAUCACUGAAGGAGGGGAUUGCGUCUGAUUAGCUAGUUGGAGGGGUAACGGCCCACCAAGGCGAUGAUCAGUAGCCGGUCUGAGAGGAUGAACGGCCACAUUGGGACUGAGACACGGCCCAGACUCCUACGGGAGGCAGCAGUGGGGAAUCUUCCGCAAUGGACGAAAGUCUGACGGAGCAACGCCGCGUGAGUGAUGACGGCCUUCGGGUUGUAAAGCUCUGUUAAUCGGGACGAAAGGCCUUCUUGCGAAUAGUGAGAAGGAUUGACGGUACCGGAAUAGAAAGCCACGGCUAACUACGU
This 509-nucleotide ribosomal RNA is filed under the name uncultured bacterium. Its description in RNAcentral is "partial 16S ribosomal RNA". It matches the Rfam family "Bacterial small subunit ribosomal RNA", at positions 28 to 506 of the family's 1533-position model. The record is from RNAcentral.